AUUGAACGCUGGCGGCAGGCCUAACACAUGCAAGUCGAGCGGAUGACGGGAGCUUGCUCCUUGAUUCAGCGGCGGACGGGUGAGUAAUGCCUAGGAAUCUGCCUGGUAGUGGGGGACAACGUUUCGAAAGGAACGCUAAUACCGCAUACGUCCUACGGGAGAAGGCAGGGGACCUUCGGGCCUUGCGCUAUCAGAUGAGCCUAGGUCGGAUUAGCUUGUUGGUGAGGUAAUGGCUCACCAAGGCGACGAUCCGUAACUGGUCUGAGAGGAUGAUCAGUCACACUGGAACUGAGACACGGUCCAGACUCCUACGGGAGGCAGCAGUGGGGAAUAUUGGACAAUGGGCGAAAGCCUGAUCCAGCCAUGCCGCGUGUGUGAAGAAGGUCUUCGGAUUGUAAAGCACUUUAAGUUGGGAGGAAGGGUUGUAGAUUAAUACUCUGCAAUUUUGACGUUACCGACAGAAUAAGCACCGGCUAACUCUGUGCCAGCCGCCGCGGUAA
Molecule: ribosomal RNA, 500 nt
Filed under: uncultured bacterium
Lineage: Bacteria
Description: partial 16S ribosomal RNA
Rfam family: Bacterial small subunit ribosomal RNA
Source: RNAcentral